CCGUAGCAAAUCAAGAGCAACUAAAAGGAGGUACAGCUCCUUUAAAAAAGAACACAAUCUCCCCUAGCGGAUUAACAACCCCUAUACCACCUAAACUGUGGGCCUUUAAGCAGCCACCAACAAAGAAUGCGUCAAAGCUCUCCACUAAAAAAAAUCCAAAAACAACAUGACUCCCUUACCUCACAGCAGGCCAAUCUAUAACAAUAGAAGAGCUAAUGCUAAAAUAAGUAACUUGGACUCACUCCUCUCAAGCGCAAGCUCACAUGAUCACAUUACUAACAAACCCAACUAAUACUACAACUCCAACAAGACCAANUAUUAAAUCCCCUGUUAACCCAACCCAGGUGCGCUUACUAGAAAGAUUGAAACCUGCAAAAGGAACUAGGCAACCUCAAGACCCGACUGUUUACCAAAAACAUAGCCUUUAGCCCAUCAAGUAUUAAAGGUGAUGCCUGCCCAGUGAUACAACAUAUUCAACGGCCGCGGUAUCCUAACCGUGCAAAGGUAGCGCAAUCAAUUGUCUCAUAAAUCGGGACCUGUAUGAAUGGCUAAACGAGAUCUUAACUGUCUCUUGCAGAUAAUCAGUGAAAUUGAUCUUCCUGUGCAAAAGCAGGAAUAUCCUCAUAAGACGAGAAGACCCUGUGGAACUUAAAAAUCACGGCCACCCGCACACAAACCCAAACCUACCAGCCCACUAACUUGCAGACACUGACCCGUAUUUUUUGGUUGGGGCGACCUUGGAGAAAAGCAAAUCCUCCAAAAAUAAGACCACACACUCUUAACCAAGAGCAACCCCUCAACGUACUAACGAGUACCCAGACCCAGUACAACUGACCAAUGAACCAAGCUACCCCAGGGAUAACAGCGCAAUCUCCUUUAAGAGCCCAUAUCGACAAGGAGGUUUACGACCUCGAUGUUGGAUCAGGACAUCCUAAUGGUGCAGCCGCUAUUAAGGGUUCGUUUGUUCAACGAUUAACAGUCCUACGUGAUCUGAGUUGAGACCGGAGCAAUCCAGGUCGGUUUCUAUCUAUGACAAACCUCUCCUAGUACGAAAGGACCGGAGAAGUGAGGCCAAUACCCCAAGCACGCCUCCCCAUAAGUAAUGACAACAACUAAAUCACUACAAAGGACAUUAACCAGACUAAUCCUAAAAAAGGACCGCUAGCGUGGCAGAGUUUGGCAAAUGCAA
This 1189-nucleotide ribosomal RNA is filed under the name Crotophaga major. Its description in RNAcentral is "16S ribosomal RNA". The stretch from base 352 to 1189 matches the Rfam family "Archaeal large subunit ribosomal RNA", at positions 1423 to 2938 of the family's 2987-position model. The record is from RNAcentral. Lineage: Eukaryota; Metazoa; Chordata; Aves; Cuculiformes; Crotophagidae.